RNAcentral lists this ribosomal RNA (521 nucleotides) under Fusarium sp. INBio2575C. Its description in RNAcentral is "eukaryotic LSU rRNA". The stretch from base 149 to 302 matches the Rfam family "5.8S ribosomal RNA". Lineage: Eukaryota; Fungi; Ascomycota; Sordariomycetes; Hypocreales; Nectriaceae. The record is from RNAcentral.
AAAACUCAUCAACCCAUGUGAACAUACCUAAAACGUUUGCUUCGAGCGGGAACAGUACGGGCCCCGUAACACGGGCCGCCCCCGCCAGAGGACCCCCUAACUCUGUUUCUAUUAUGUUUCUUCUGAGUAAAACAAGCAAAUAAAUUAAAACUUUCAACAACGGAUCUCUUGGCUCUGGCAUCGAUGAAGAACGCAGCGAAAUGCGAUAAGUAAUGUGAAUUGCAGAAUUCAGUGAAUCAUCGAAUCUUUGAACGCACAUUGCGCCCGCCAGUAUUCUGGCGGGCAUGCCUGUUCGAGCGUCAUUACAACCCUCAGGCCCCCGGGCCUGGCGUUUGGGGAUCGGCGAGGCGCCCCCUGCGGGCACACGCCGUCCCCCAAAUACAGUGGCGGUCCCGCCGCAGCUUCCAUUGCGUAGUAGCUAACACCUCGCAACUGGAGAGCGGCGCGGCCAUGCCGUAAAACACCCAACUUCUGAAUGUUGACCUCGAAUCAGGUAGGAAUACCCGCUGAACUUAAGCAUA